RNAcentral lists this ribosomal RNA (967 nucleotides) under human gut metagenome. RNAcentral's name for it is "bacterial SSU rRNA". It matches the Rfam family "Bacterial small subunit ribosomal RNA", at positions 8 to 967 of the family's 1533-position model. The record is from RNAcentral.
AGAGUUUGAUCCUGGCUCAGGAUGAACGCUAGCUACAGGCUUAACACAUGCAAGUCGAGGGGCAGCAUGGUCUUAGCUUGCUAAGGCCGAUGGCGACCGGCGCACGGGUGAGUAACACGUAUCCAACCUGCCGUCUACUCUUGGACAGCCUUCUGAAAGGAAGAUUAAUACAAGAUGGCAUCAUGAGUCCGCAUGUUCACAUGAUUAAAGGUAUUCCGGUAGACGAUGGGGAUGCGUUCCAUUAGAUAGUAGGCGGGGUAACGGCCCACCUAGUCUUCGAUGGAUAGGGGUUCUGAGAGGAAGGUCCCCCACAUUGGAACUGAGACACGGUCCAAACUCCUACGGGAGGCAGCAGUGAGGAAUAUUGGUCAAUGGGCGAGAGCCUGAACCAGCCAAGUAGCGUGAAGGAUGACUGCCCUAUGGGUUGUAAACUUCUUUUAUAAAGGAAUAAAGUCGGGUAUGCAUACCCGUUUGCAUGUACUUUAUGAAUAAGGAUCGGCUAACUCCGUGCCAGCAGCCGCGGUAAUACGGAGGAUCCGAGCGUUAUCCGGAUUUAUUGGGUUUAAAGGGAGCGUAGAUGGAUGUUUAAGUCAGUUGUGAAAGUUUGCGGCUCAACCGUAAAAUUGCAGUUGAUACUGGAUAUCUUGAGUGCAGUUGAGGCAGGCGGAAUUCGUGGUGUAGCGGUGAAAUGCUUAGAUAUCACGAAGAACUCCGAUUGCGAAGGCAGCCUGCUAAGCUGCAACUGACAUUGAGGCUCGAAAGUGUGGGUAUCAAACAGGAUUAGAUACCCUGGUAGUCCACACGGUAAACGAUGAAUACUCGCUGUUUGCGAUAUACGGCAAGCGGCCAAGCGAAAGCGUUAAGUAUUCCACCUGGGGAGUACGCCGGCAACGGUGAAACUCAAAGGAAUUGACGGGGGCCCGCACAAGCGGAGGAACAUGUGGUUUAAUUCGAUGAUACGCGAGGA